Molecule: unclassified non-coding RNA, 1594 nt
Filed under: Hevea brasiliensis (rubber tree)
Lineage: Eukaryota; Viridiplantae; Streptophyta; Magnoliopsida; Malpighiales; Euphorbiaceae
Source: RNAcentral
GUGAGAGCAAAUUAUCCGAAAUAACUAGCUUAUUUAUUAGAUAUGUAGUAUAAGCUGGCUGCUCAUAUGUCUGCACAAACAUAUGCACUCAAAUAGCAUUCCACUUGAUUUUGUGUUAACCAAACUAAUUCUUCCAUUAUCCACAACUGGAUUCUCUCCAAGGAAUUCUAACGUUAGGCUCUUUGAACGCGAUCCUCGAGUGCUUUGAGUGGUAGCAGUUGGUUCCUCAAGUAGAUGCAGGAACUUUCCAUCCUAGUGGCAUGGGACCAACAUCAUAGAUGAUUUCUCUGUGGCAAGACCAUACAAGUUUAAUAGCUUCUGGAGUACCUAUUCCGGCUCCUCUGGGGUCCCCGGCAGGACCAAACCAGUGAUUCUGGGGAGCCCCUGUUGUUCUUGCUCUCAAUCCAGCAUAAGUGGUUCCAUUAACUGAAUUUCCAAUCACUUUUUGCAGGAACAAUAUAUCAUUGGAAACCACAGCAGCUGUUAAAUGUGCAUGCAUCUUUUCAAGGGCAUCGAGGACCAGUGGAAGCUGAUUAUCUUUGUACUCAGUCACAACCUGGAAUGGCCCAAAAAUCUCUUUGGUCACGAGAGGAUAAUGUUCAUCUUUGAGUAUUUCUUCAAGAGGUACAAAAAUAGCAGUGGGCUUAAUGGCUCCAUAAAUUUUUGGGAUCGAAUGGUUCUGUAAGGCUUCACCACCAAAGAGCAAUCUCGAUCCAGGUAUCUGAAGUAAUUUCUUCGCAUGGUCCAGCAUUGUUUCAGUUGUAACCGUAAGGACAGGACCAAUAGUUAAAUCAUCUAACUUUCUUCUUGCAGCAAGCUCGGUCAUUUUGUCUAAGAGAGAACUUUUACUCCAAUUCUCAUGCAUGAACAAUAUUGAUUCAGCUGAACACUUCUGACCACUACAUGCAUAUGCAUCUUGGUCACAAACCCAUGCAACGUAAUCCACCUCAUUGACAUCGGGCCCAAGGAUCUUCCAGUCGAAUCCAGCAUCUUCUAGUUUGACUCGACCGCUUAGGUCAUCAGCUAACUUCUCUGCCACCCUUGAGCUACCUGUGAAGAGAGUCAUGCGUGGUUUUGCCUCCACGAGUAGCUUGUUCAUUGUCUUUCCAUCUGAGUUUAUGAAAUCCACAUCAUCCACAGGUAACCCACACUCAUGAAGUAGUCGAAGCAUUUGUUCCAUAACAAUGCAUACCUUGCUAUCAACUUUAAGUACUGGCUUAUUUCCCAUAUACAACGCUCCCAUCAGCUGAAGCAAAGGAAUCUCCAAAGGAAAAUUAAAGGGAGCAAUAACCGCUACAGGUCCAUAAGGCCAUCGGAAACCAUGGCUCUGCUGCCCCAGAUGAUUUCCUGGUACUGCAAAAGAUCUAGCUAGAAAGCGAACCUGAUCACCACAGAAAUUUUCCAGAAAUUUCUGCGUCACGAGAACUUCAACAAGAGCUUGUUGGUAACUCUUAGGAGACACCCUUUGUAUUAGCUUCGCAAAGAAAUCAGAAACCUCAGGCAAGCCAAGCGCAUGAGCUGCUUUUGUAGAUACGUCUCCUAACAUUAAGUACCUUUCUGGUGCUUUGAAUGGAUUAUGUAGACCAUGUUUCGG